CCUACGGGGGGCAGCAGUGGGGAAUAUUGGACAAUGGGGGGAACCCUGAUCCAGCCAUGCCGCGUGUGUGAAGAAGGCCCUCGGGUUGUAAAGCACUUUCAGUGAGGAAGAACGCCUGGUGGUUAAUACCCAUCAGGAAAGACAUCACUCACAGAAGAAGCACCGGCUAACUCCGUGCCAGCAGCCGCGGUAAUACGGAGGGUGCGAGCGUUAAUCGGAAUUACUGGGCGUAAAGCGCGCGUAGGUGGCUUGAUAAGCCGGUUGUGAAAGCCCCGGGCUCAACCUGGGAACGGCAUCCGGAACUGGCAAGCUAGAGUGCAGGAGAGGAAGGUAGAAUUCCCGGUGUAGCGGUGAAAUGCGUAGAGAUCUGGAGGAAUACCAGUGGCGAAGGCGGCCUUCUGGACUGACACUGACACUGAGGUGCGAAAGCGUGGGUAGCAAACAGGAUUAGAUACCCCGGUAGUC
This 465-nucleotide ribosomal RNA is filed under the name Vreelandella stevensii. RNAcentral describes it as "partial 16S ribosomal RNA". It matches the Rfam family "Bacterial small subunit ribosomal RNA", at positions 338 to 795 of the family's 1533-position model. Lineage: Bacteria; Pseudomonadati; Pseudomonadota; Gammaproteobacteria; Oceanospirillales; Halomonadaceae. The record is from RNAcentral.